UUCGACCCGAAGGUAAGGAAUAACGUCGAAGAAGUCGGCGCUAAUACCUCAUAAUGCAGCGGAUCCGCAUGGAUAUGUUGUUAAAGGUUUACCGCCUUGGGAUAGGCUUGCGUCUGAUUAGCUAGUUGGUGUGGUAAUGGCACACCAAGGCUACGAUCAGUAACUGGUCUGAGAGGAUGAUCAGUCACACUGGAACUGAGACACGGUCCAGACUCCUACGGGAGGCAGCAGUGAGGAAUAUUGGGCAAUGCACGAAAGUGUGACCCAGCAACGCCGCGUGGAGGAUGAAGGUAUUCUAUAUCGUAAACUCCUGUGAGAGCAGACGAAAGACAGAUUAUUAAUUUGGAUGACUGUAUGCUCAGAGGAAGCCCCGGCUAACUACGUG
Molecule: ribosomal RNA, 385 nt
Filed under: uncultured bacterium
Lineage: Bacteria
Description: bacterial SSU rRNA
Rfam family: Bacterial small subunit ribosomal RNA
Source: RNAcentral